CACGUAGGCACCAAGCGUUAUCCGGAUUUAUUGGGCGUAAAGAGCUCGUAGGCGGUUCGGUAAGUCGGGUGUGAAAACUCUGGGCUCAACCCAGAGAGGCCACCCGAUACUGCUGUGACUAGAGUGCGGUAGGGGAGCGGGGAAUUCCUGGUGUAGCGGUGAAAUGCGCAGAUAUCAGGAGGAACACCAGCGGCGAAGGCGGGUCUCUGGGCCGAUACUGACGCUGAGGAGCGAAAGCUAGGGGAGCAAACAGG
Molecule: ribosomal RNA, 254 nt
Filed under: uncultured bacterium
Lineage: Bacteria
Description: partial 16S ribosomal RNA
Rfam family: Bacterial small subunit ribosomal RNA
Source: RNAcentral